RNAcentral lists this ribosomal RNA (425 nucleotides) under uncultured bacterium. RNAcentral's name for it is "partial 16S ribosomal RNA". It matches the Rfam family "Bacterial small subunit ribosomal RNA", at positions 354 to 796 of the family's 1533-position model. The record is from RNAcentral.
GUGGGGAAUCUUGCGCAAUGGGCGAAAGCCUGACGCAGCCAUGCCGCGUGAAUGAUGAAGGUCUUAGGAUUGUAAAAUUCUUUCACCGGGGACGAUAAUGACGGUACCCGGAGAAGAAGCUCCGGCUAACUUCGUGCCAGCAGCCGCGGUAAUACGAAGGGGGCUAGCGUUGCUCGGAAUUACUGGGCGUAACGGGCGCGUAGGCGGACAGCUUAGUCAGAGGUGAAAGCCCAGGGCUCAAGCUUGGAAUUGGCUUUGAUAAUGGCUGUCUUGAGUGUGGGAGAGGUGGGUGGAACUCCGAGUGUAGAGGUGAAAUUCGUAGAUAUUCGGAGGAACACCAGUGGCGAAGGCGGCUCACUGGCUCGAUACUGACGCUGAGGUGCGAAAGCGUGGGGAGCAAACAGGAUUAGAAACCCUAGUAGUCC